GGAAUCUUCCACAAUGGGCGCAAGCCUGAUGGAGCAACACCGCGUGAGUGAAGAAGGGUUUCGGCUCGUAAAGCUCUGUUGUUAAAGAAGAACACGUAUGAGAGUAACUGUUCAAUGUGUGACGGUAUCUUACCAGAAAGGAACGGCUAAAUACGUGCCAG
Molecule: ribosomal RNA, 161 nt
Filed under: uncultured bacterium
Lineage: Bacteria
Description: partial 16S rRNA
Rfam family: Bacterial small subunit ribosomal RNA
Source: RNAcentral